This 514-nucleotide ribosomal RNA is filed under the name uncultured bacterium. RNAcentral's name for it is "bacterial SSU rRNA". It matches the Rfam family "Bacterial small subunit ribosomal RNA", at positions 15 to 518 of the family's 1533-position model. The record is from RNAcentral.
GAUUAUGGCUCAGGAUGAACGCUAGCUACAGGCUUAACACAUGCAAGGUCGAGGGGCAGCAUGAUCGAAGCUUGCUUGAUGAUGGCGACCGGCGCACGGGUGAGUAACGCGUAUCCAACCUUCCCUAUAGUAGAGAAUAGCCCGGCGAAAGUCGGAUUAAUGCUCUAUGUUGUAUUUAGAGGACAUCUGAAGAAUACCAAAGGUUUACCGCUAUAGGAUGGGGAUGCGUCUGAUUAGGUAGUAGGCGGGGUAACGGCCCACCUAGCCGACGAUCAGUAGGGGUUCUGAGAGGAAGGUCCCCCACAUUGGAACUGAGACACGGUCCAAACUCCUACGGGAGGCAGCAGUGAGGAAUAUUGGUCAAUGGACGGAAGUCUGAACCAGCCAAAGUAGCGUGCAGGAUGACGGCCUUAUGGGUUGUAAACUGCUUUUAUAUAGGGAUAAAGUCGGGGACGUGUCCCCGUUUGUAGGUACUAUAUGAAUAAGGACCGGCUAAUUCCGUGCCAGCCGCCGC